This is a long non-coding RNA of Triticum aestivum (bread wheat), 3922 nucleotides long. RefSeq lists it as uncharacterized. The record is from RefSeq and is a predicted model, not a curated record. Lineage: Eukaryota; Viridiplantae; Streptophyta; Magnoliopsida; Poales; Poaceae. The transcript is spliced from 2 exons.
UCGAACGUCGUGAUGGUUCGACCUCGUUUGACCUCCCCCUCCUCAGCUUCUUCCAUCCCCGCCCGAAAAAAAAGACCCACGAGGCCAUGACCCCACGUCCCACGCCCACGCAGCCUCCUCAUCUCCCGCACCCCAUCGCUCCCGAUCCCGUCUCUCUCCCCGCUCCGGCGCUCCCUAGAAAAGAAUUCUCUGAAUCUCCCCUUCUCGUCCGCCCGGCAGUCGCGGUCUAGGGCUCCAGGCCGUUGGCAGUAGGAUCCAGUCCCAUCAACAACUUAUUUGUUCCUCCCUCUUAUCUGCACCACUCUAGAUCGCGUCCAACCAUGGGCGAGCUUGGCGGCGGCACGGAAGGAGAGCGCCAGUACAUCGCCGCCAGAGGGCGUACUGGGGUUGGGGCUGGUGUGCAGGUGUAGCCGUACAACUCGGCCAUCGGCCAUGGCGGAUGCGCUGGCCGCCGGGAGUGCCAGUACGCCACCAUCGGGGACGCCGUCAGGGCGGGGUUCCCUGUGCGACGGAAGGCCGGCGCCGAGUGAUGCGGUGAGUGCCAGGCUUCUAGAGGGCGCCGCGGGUAUGACAGUCGGAUGCCGGAUGAUCACACAUGCUUCUGCUCCACGGACAGGCUAGCAGGUCGUGUCCUACUACUUCGUCAGGUUCAGGUACCCUUGGCCUUGAUUGAUCUAAGAGGAAAUUGGUUGGUCAACAAUGUUUGAUUGAUCUAAUCAACCUUGAGAUGUCCUAAUUUCUGACCAGUCUUUUUUUUUUGCGAAUUAAUUUCUGACCAGUCUAUUUACUGGGAAGACUUCUCUUCUUUUAACCUGACACUUCAUCUACAGGUAUGUAGACUAUGUUUGAUUGAUCUAAGAGGUAAUUGGUUGGUCAACGAUGUUUCAGUCUAUUUACUGGUAAGGGAAGAUUUCUCUUCUUUUAAACUGAUCUAAUCACUCUUUGACCAUAGCAAAUGGAACAAAUUAAGUAGGAUGAAGACAUGAACACAAACAAGGUAGUAGACUAUAAACUGGACAAUUCCCUCAAAUUCUCCACAUUUAGCAUGUUCUCUACUCCACAUGUUGUUUAAAUCAAGCCGUGUCUAACUAGAGAUAGAACUUGUCUAUUCCAAGCUACAUUUCCUUUUAUAUACAGAAUCAUUUUUGACAUUGGUUUUUGAUCUUGCAGGACCAAAGAAACCAAUGGUGAGCACAUGAAACACAACUACCUUAUUUAUCAGUAGUUUUCUUAUGGUGCACACGGACCAAUUCAAGCAUUUUUAAGUGUUUUAUUUUUCUUCUCUUACAAAUUCAAGCAUCAAUGUGCAUGGUUUCUUUCUUCAUCUAUUUAAUCGCCAUUUGCCACUUCAAAAAGCUCUGUAGUUGCUCUGGUUCUGUUCGUGCUUCUCGUCGUUGUGCCAUUCCAGUACAUACGCAAGAGGAGGCAGUACAAGUGACUUCCUCGUCCAGGCUCCGCAAGUACAGUAACUCAGGCGGGACACCCCACUACAGUGGCAGCGACCUGGAGUUCGGCAGAGUCCACAGGCUGCAGCAGACACACCAAUUCGCAUAUGAGGAGCUGGAGGAGCCCACGGCGGCAUCAGCGACACGCGAGAGCUCGGCGGCGAGCGACGACUUCGGCACCAUGCAUGAUAACUACAGGACGGGCGGGCAGUGGUGGUGGAGCGGUUGUACGACCACAGCUGCUGGCACGUGCAGCAGUUCAUGAACUAGGCGACGAUCCUGUCACAGCUACACCACCUGAACCUCGUCAUCUUCUAAGGAUCCUGUCGCAGCUGCACCAUCUGAACCUCGUCAUCUUCCACGGCUGCACGUCCAGACGAAGCCAUGUGCUGCUGCUGGUGUACGAGUAGAUGCCCUACAACACCGUGGCCGACCACUUGCACGACCAUCGUGCGGCGGUGCUGCCACUGUCGUGGUCACUCCGCCUCAAUGUCGUCAUCGAGGCAGUUGCAACGGUAGCCUAUCUCCACCCCAUCGAGCCUUUCAUGGUGUACAGUGACGAGAAGACUACCAACAUCCUCCUCGAUGCCGAAUCCCAUGUCAAGGUGGCUGACUUUGGCCUCACCCGGCUCUUCCCGCUUGACGGCGCCACGGGGCAUACCAAGGUUAGUGGACCGGGGUAUAGUUGUGUGAACAUGAGAUUUGAGUAGACAUAGGCAAAAUGAAACACUAUAAUAGAACGUCGUGACAAUGCCAGAAGUUAGAAAUGGAAUUUCCUAUGUGGCCAAAGAAUGUAACUCCAUGGAAGAUUGGAUUUUGGAAUAAUCAUCCUAGAUAGAUGUUGUAAUGGGAGAAAAUGUUGAACCUGUAUUUUCCUAGCCCGGUUCAGUAGCUAGCUUAGCUUUCUUCAGUUAGCAGAAUAAGCGGCCGUGUCAACGUGUGCAUGUACACUAGAUAUGGCCUGGUAGUUCCAGUUAGUAGGUAGCUAGCUUGGCGCGGCCGUUGGAGUUGCAUGGGAUGGCAUGCAGCGUAGCCCGCGGCACGCGCGCAUCACCCGCAAGGCGAGCAUCGUGGGAUGGCACGACCGGUAAGCUCGCAGGCGUGGUUGAUCUCUCCCUUUAUAAGUUCAGUACAAAUAAGAGGAAUGGAAAUGAGAAAAGCUGCAACGCACUACGCAGCACAAAACCACCUGAGUCAUCUUCCUCCUCUCGACAUUGAAGCCGUGAGCUUGAGUGUGUAGGCCUUCCUGGUUCCAACAGAAAUAUUGGCCCAGUAAACACCAAUUUAGCAUUAGCCAUGCAUAUGCAUGCCUUUGAAUAUAAUUCUUGUUGCUCUCUUGUACUGUUUUGUGUUUUCAGCUGACAUGUGAAAACAAUGUAUUAUUUAAUACAUAGGUUCCAUUAUAUUUCUGAAUCUUAAUGUUAAAAAUGUCGUGUUUUAAAUUUUGCUUCACUUCUUGCUCGGUUAGUGUGCUUUAUAUCUCUGAUCUUCUAUUACCUUUUUUUGUUUCACAUUUUCACACUAUCUUGUGUAGCUUGUAUCUGAUAGCCGUCAGGGAAGGUAAUACGUCCUUUUGUCAGAUAUUGGACGAACUAAUUCCAUGUUGUUUUUCAGUAUGUGCAUCUGCAGUAAUGUUGUAUGCAGUCAGAUAUUUUACGGUGGCAGGAGGAAGAUCCUGGAUGAGUUGAACCCUUAGCAUGCAGUAGAUAUUGGAAAUUUGGAAUGCAUGCAAGUCAUAUCAGCUCAUGUAUUGGGAACAUAUACUAGGUUUUUCUGUGCGGAAGUAUUCAGAAUUUACAUUGUAUCCUUAAAGUUAUUGGUCUAACUAUCCUCUAUUUAUUUAUAUUUCAUUUUGCAAAACCAAAAGUAGAGCCAAACAUUUUACCAGCUUCGAAAAGUGGAACAUCAUAAAUUCCAAAACCAAAUUCAUGUUCUGAAAUAGAAGUUUAGGAAUGCUAGAGCAUGCAAGUUCUGUGUUAUUAACAGAAGGUUGAUUGGUCUGAUAAAUUUGCAAAUAAAAAAAUAGACAUGGAGGUGUCCGCAUAUUUGUGGUAAACCUGCUCUGAAGAAAUAUUUCUUUAUUAGUUUUCAACGUGGAGAGGGGAAUCCCUUGCUAACCUGUUUUUUCGUACUCAUUUUAUGUUGCUAAUUUUCCAGUUAAUGUACAUGAUGGAACUUGUUGGAUUUUGAGGAAUGAUGCAUCCAUCGUCAAGUUUAUUCUAUAGACUUGCUUAAAUUAAAACAAAUAUUCCAAGGCGAUGGAAGGGCGAGAUGACAGAUUUGUUAAGCGGCGGCAAGGCUACAGCAAGGGUAGAUGAAAUUGAAUGAAUGUGCAUGCGAACAGGAUGAAAGUUACCGCUUGAAGGAGGUAUGGUUGUUAAAAAGACACGAUGAGUGUGGUAGAGAAUCAAUGUAGUUGUUAUAUGGAUGGAAUCAACAUGUUGUCUUGUUUGACACACUUCUUGGAAGAACAAAAA